This 405-nucleotide long non-coding RNA is filed under the name Musa acuminata (dwarf banana). RNAcentral's name for it is "long non-coding RNA (MACU_LNC007144)". Lineage: Eukaryota; Viridiplantae; Streptophyta; Magnoliopsida; Zingiberales; Musaceae. The record is from RNAcentral.
CCACCUCCCUCUUGUUCUGCCUCCGCUGCUGUAGUUGUCAGUUGCCAUCACCGCAGCCUCAAUACGGCUGCUCGGCGAUUGCUUCCUUGGGUCACAACAGCCGCAACCGUCACCUUUCAGCCUUGGCGCUCUCAUCUCACGCAGUGACACAAACAUAGGGCAGCUACUCUUCCUCCAACGCAGCGACCGCAGCACUGCCCUUGGCAUCCACCUCCUCGGCAACUUCGCAUCGACAGUGUUGAUGCCCUUGACUGACACCAAAAACAGAAGUUGAGAUUACAGAUUUGCAGUCGUACGCAAUGGCCACUGAUAACUCGGUGAAAGCACAAAUGGAAGCAUUGGAAAUCAGAAUUGAGAAUCGACUGCAAGAAACACUUAAUGAUUUCAAAAAGAGCCUACUGGAGA